UAGUACAUAAAGUGGUAUUUUGCAAAACAAAAGGUGUAAGAUCUUCAUGACUGCUGGCAUAGCUGCAAUAACAGCUUCAAGGAUUUCCUUUUCUUUCUUUAUAAUGGUCCUUAUGCUAGAUUUGUUAAUCUUGCAACCACAGCUGCAAACCUCAAUCUAUGGCACAUAUCAAGCAAUUCAACUCUUUCUUGUAAUGUCAUUACUUUUCUCUGCUACUUGAGAGCACUUCCAACAUCACUAGUGACACUUUGUGUGGGUCUCAGAGUGUUACUCAAGGUUUACAGUAUUGCACUAAACACAAAAAGUGCACGAGAACCACAAGAGAUCACUUUUUAAGCACUAUACAUUUUAUUGGAGAGAUGAAUUUCUCACGUGGAAUAAUUAGUGUCACAUGGCAUUUUAAGUGGAUGCUCACAAUACUUGAGCUCACCAGAAUAGCAAGAGUAGGUGGUUAUGAAAUAUUACAGUACAGUAUUACAAUUAAUUUAUGCAAUUACAAUUUAAUAUUUUAUCUUUACGUUUUACAUUUUUCUUGACUGCGAAAGGUGCCAUGUAAGACCUGAGUUUGUGUGUGUACGUUUUGAUAAAUUUUAACAUUUUAUAUA
This is a long non-coding RNA of Sapajus apella (tufted capuchin), 605 nucleotides long. RefSeq lists it as uncharacterized. The transcript is spliced from 2 exons. The record is from RefSeq and is a predicted model, not a curated record. NCBI's taxonomy places the organism in Eukaryota, Metazoa, Chordata, Mammalia, Primates, Cebidae.